AGUUUGAUCCUGGCUCAGAACGAACGCUGGCGGCAGGCUUAACACAUGCAAGUCGAACGCCCCGCAAGGGGAGUGGCAGACGGGUGAGUAACGCGUGGGAACGUGCCUUCUGGUUCGGAAUAACUCAGGGAAACUUGAGCUAAUACCGGAUACGCCCUUUUGGGGAAAGGUUUACUGCCGGAAGAUCGGCCCGCGUCUGAUUAGCUAGUUGGUGGGGUAACGGCCUACCAAGGCGACGAUCAGUAGCUGGUCUGAGAGGAUGAUCAGCCACACUGGGACUGAGACACGGCCCAGACUCCUACGGGAGGCAGCAGUGGGGAAUAUUGGACAAUGGGCGAAAGCCUGAUCCAGCAAUGCCGCGUGAGUGAUGAAGGCCUUAGGGUUGUAAAGCUCUUUUACCCGGGAUGAUAAUGACAGUACCGGGAGAAUAAGCUCCGGCUAACUCCGUGCCAGCAGCCGCGGUAA
This 465-nucleotide ribosomal RNA is filed under the name uncultured bacterium. RNAcentral describes it as "bacterial SSU rRNA". It matches the Rfam family "Bacterial small subunit ribosomal RNA", at positions 10 to 523 of the family's 1533-position model. The record is from RNAcentral.